AAAGGAGCCAUCCUGGUCCCUAUUCAAGGUUGAUAACUAGUUGAAAAGACCAUCUUGGUCUCUCUUGAAGGUUAAUAACUACCUGAAGGAACCAUCCUGGCCCCUCUUCAAGGUUAAUAACUACUUGAAGGAACCAUUUUGAUCCCUCUUCAAAGUUGAUAACUACUUGAAGGAACCAUCUUGGUCCCUAUUCAAGAUUAGUAACUGAAGGACCCAUCUUGGUCCCUCUUCAACGUUGAUAACUACUUGAAAAGGAGCCAUCCUGGUCCCUAUUCAAGGUUGAUAACUACUUGAAAAGACCAUCUUGGUCUCUCUUGAAGGUUAAUAACUACCUGAAGGAACCAUCCUGGCCCCUCUUCAAGGUUAAUAACUACUUGAAGGAACCAUUUUGAUCCCUCUUCAAAGUUGAUAACUACUUGAAGGAACCAUCUUGGUCCCUAUUCAAGAUUAGUAACUGAAGGACCCAUCUUGGUCCCUCUUCAACGUUGAUAACAACUUGAAAAGGAGCCAUCCUGGUCCCUAUUCAAGGUUGAUAACUACUUGAAAAAACCAUCUUGGUAUCACUUCAAGGUUAAUAACCAUCUUGGUAUCACUUCAAGGUUAAUAACUACCUGAAGGAACCAUCCUGGCCCCUCUUCAAGGUUGAUAACUACUUAAAGGAACCAACUUGCUCUCUUCAAAGUUGAUAACUACUUGAAGGAACCAUCUUGGUCCCUCUUCAAGGUCGACGACUACCCGAAGCCCAUCUCGAGGACCACUCGUGGCUGCGCUAGUCAAUGCGGUUUAACGCAACAAGUACAUAGAGGUCGCGACCAAAAGUUAACGCUUUCUACGCCCGAGUGUUCACAGGACGAUGUUCCGCUUCCUGAGGGCGUUCCGUUUUUCGUCGAGCCGCAGGUGCACAGUGCACGCUUCGAAUAAACGCCGCCAGGGCGAGCCAGUGGCUGCCCGUUA
Orussus abietinus is the source of this 954-nucleotide long non-coding RNA. RefSeq lists it as uncharacterized. The record is from RefSeq and is a predicted model, not a curated record. NCBI's taxonomy places the organism in Eukaryota, Metazoa, Arthropoda, Insecta, Hymenoptera, Orussidae. The transcript is spliced from 2 exons.